Cannabis sativa is the source of this 1498-nucleotide RNA transcript. RefSeq lists it as uncharacterized. The transcript is spliced from 4 exons. NCBI's taxonomy places the organism in Eukaryota, Viridiplantae, Streptophyta, Magnoliopsida, Rosales, Cannabaceae. The record is from RefSeq and is a predicted model, not a curated record.
ACCACACAAAGUUAGUUUUUAUUCUGUAUUUGUUCUAUGAAUUCCAUUGAGAGCUUUGGGCUCUUCCAUUAUUAUAAUUCUAUUUUUUUUUUCAAAACAAAACAAAACUGUUUUUAUUAUUACUUUGAAAAAAAUAAUGUUGUUUCUGCAAUUAUUUUUCGUAGCUUUUGGUUUCCCUGUAAUUUAUAAUAGCCAUUUCAUAGAGAAUCCUUGCUAUGGAUUAGAGAGAAAUAAAGUACGAGACAGUAGCAAAGCAAAAUAGGGAAUAAGAUAGUUUGUAAGUAUUGAAACAAUCAGGAAUUCGAGGACACAAAGGACACAGGUCAUCUUUUCAUUUUUCACCUAUUUUUUCUCUUGAGAUUAGUGAUAUCAUUGAUAUUGAUAAAUGUUUGUAAGUAUUUGGUAAUGAUAAUAAAUGGUUGAUCUUAGUAUAACCUCAAUCCCUUCAUCCUCAUGAUUGAUGGGUUUUCGAUUUUUGUCGAAGAAAAGUGCUUCUAGUCAUGAGCAAGCAUAACUUUUUUUUUUUUUUUUUUAAUAGAUGUUGAAAUUGUAGGAUGUUCAAUCUAAACCAAUGAAGUAAGAUGUGUAAAUUUUACUUUUGAAAUUUAUAUGAUUGUUUCAUAGUUUCUACUUGGGUUUUUGCAAGCUUUCUUGUUGAUUUUACGGUUGUAAUUAUUCAUUUUUGAUUGUGUUAAAGGUAAUUGCGUUCUUGACUUUCUUCUACUAAAUUAUAAGUUGGGUAGUUUACCAAGUAAGGUUUCCGUCUAAGGUCUCAUCUCAUGUGUUUUUGUUUUAUGGAGCUGUCUUCUCAUCUACUAUUUCUUAGUUGACUUGGAUGAAGAGGCAUUAGUGAUUGCUUGAGUGGUAUGGUUAUAACUUGUGUUUCAUGUCCAUAAAAUGUCUUCUACCCAUGUUUAUGUUCGAUUGCAUAAAGGGCAAACCAUUGAUGAUAUAAGCGAAGGAUUACUGGAGGACUGUGCUCAGCUCGUCAAAGCAAAUUGCAUACAAGGUUCUGAUUUUGUUGCAGCUUGCAAGCAUUGCGCUUCAAGUUGUUAAGAGGCUUAUCCAAUUGGCCCCUUCAUCUCACAGGGCUAUAAUGAAGAUGUGAAAGACAGAGGAUGAAAACAAAGAAUGUAGAAGUGGCCAGGAUUUUGGAAAUUUAAAUCCUCAAGUCUUCAAAUCCUUCUGAUAUUGAAUCACUUUUUGGUGCGAUUAACAAUGAUCAUUUUGUAUUUGGUAGUAAGUUCACUAGGUAAUCUCUUUUACAUAUAGCUUUUGACUUUCAAAGUUGAUACUAAUAUAAUUGUAUUGACUUAACAUUUAGUGAGCUUGGAUAGCUUCAAGAUGAUUGUCUCAUUUUCCACUACUAAUUGAUUUAUGUAUAUAUAUGGAGUGAAUAAAUAAGUUUAUAAUUUUAUGUAGAAUUAUAUUAGUUUUUUUUAAAACUUAUAUGUAUUAAAUAAGUUAUUUUAAUUUAUUGUAGAUAACAUUUGUAUUA